Long non-coding RNA from Cuculus canorus (common cuckoo), 618 nucleotides. RefSeq lists it as uncharacterized. The record is from RefSeq and is a predicted model, not a curated record. Lineage: Eukaryota; Metazoa; Chordata; Aves; Cuculiformes; Cuculidae. The transcript is spliced from 3 exons.
GAGCUGCCCCAUAAAUGAGGUUGGGGGUCCAGGAGGUCCAUGGGGUGGAGUCGGCUGCCCCAUAAAUUAAGUUGGGGGUCCGUCAGCUGCCCCACAAGUGAGGUUGGGGGUCCUAAAGGUCUAUGAGCUGCCCCACAAGUGAGGUUAUGGGUUCUCGGAGGUCCAUGAGCUGCCCCAUAAGUGAGGUUGGGGGUCCGUGAGCUGCCCAUAAGUGAGGUUAUGGGUCUCGGAGGUCCAUGAGCUGCCCCAUAAGUGAGGUUGGGGGUCCAGGAGGUCCAUUUGGGUUGGAGUUGGCUGCCCCAUAAGUGAGGUUGGGGGUCCGUCAGCUGCCCCACAAGUGAGGUUGGGGGUCCUAAAGGUCUACGAGCUGCCCCAUAAGUGAGGUUGGGGGUCCACGAGCUGCCCCAUAAGUGAGGUUAUGGGUCUCAGAUGUCCAUGAGCUGCCCCACAAGUGAGGUUGGGGGUCCACAAGCUGCCCCAUAAGUGAAGUUGGGGGUCCCUGAGAUCCGUGGGGUGGAGUCGGCUGCCCCAUAAGUGAAGAUGGGAAGUCCGCGGCUGCCCCAUAAGUGGCUUUUUUAAAGGGGUCCUGGAGGUCCACGAGCUGCCCCAUAAGCUGAG